AUAAAAGCGGUAUCCAAGUACCCCAAAAUUGUAAUGUCAUGGCAAAGAGAAACUAUUUGCAAUUUGAUCAAGGAAGCCAUUAUGGAAGCUGAUAAGAAAGGUGUAAAGGUUUUGACUCUAGGACUUUUAAAUCAGAAGUAGAUUUCGAGAAGAGUGACGAGUGCAUGGAGAAUAGUUGGAAUUUUAUACGCACUGGAAGGCUGGAGCCAGAAUGAGUAUUAGGACAUGAUGUUUGAUAUUGAGAACGUGUAAAAGUCAGUCUUGAUCAUGGUUUUCGCUCAUUAACUUUGUCUUCUGUCACUGCAUUAAUUGCUUAAA
Long non-coding RNA from Capsicum annuum, 318 nucleotides. RefSeq lists it as uncharacterized. The transcript has 2 exons. Lineage: Eukaryota; Viridiplantae; Streptophyta; Magnoliopsida; Solanales; Solanaceae. The record is from RefSeq and is a predicted model, not a curated record.